UCGUCUGUGGUGCUAUGGCACCAUAUGUACGUUGAUGCAAAGUAAAGAACAUAGAAAAUGUAUACAGUAGGCCUAGGCCUAUUCUUUGGUUGAUCUGAAAGUAUCAAGCAGCCUGGCCUCAAACUAAUGAUUGAUUUGCCUAACCACCAGAAAGAGAAGUCACAGCUUUUUAGCAGACAAAAAUAAUCCAGAUGCUGGGAAUAACCACAAUACAAUCCUCGCAGCACCAUUUACUGCACAAGACAAAACUAAUUCCUCCAUGACAAAACAGAGUUGUCAAUGCAAGUCAACAUUUUUCAGAGGAGCUAACAAAAACAGCACUCUGAGACGAAACAAGACUCAUGAAGACGUAAUUUAAUACAAUUAGUACAAACCUAAAGACAAUAAAACAGAAAGAGAAGACACAGCUUUUGAGCAGACAACAAAUAAUCCAAAUGCUAGGAAUAACCACAAUACAAUUCUCGCAGCACCAUCUACUGCACAAGACCAAACUAAUUCCUCCAUGACAAGACAGUCGUCAAUGCAAGUCAACAUUUGUAAGAGGAGCUAACAAAAACAGCUCUCUGAGGCAAAACAAGACUCAUGAGGUAAUUUUAUACAGUAAGUUUGUUUAAAUUAAUUGAUAACCAAAGAGAUAGCUUUCACAAGUUAACAUUUUUAAACUGUCAGCUUAUAAUAAUCAUACACUUUUCUUUCUUUGAAAAGUAAUGAAAAUAUACAUGAAGAAAGACAAGUCAUGUAUAACAAACAUAAGGAUGAAACUGUACAGUGGAGGAGUGCAAAACAAAUAUAAACAUUGUUUCUGCACUGAUGGU
This is a long non-coding RNA of Anneissia japonica, 815 nucleotides long. RefSeq lists it as uncharacterized. The record is from RefSeq and is a predicted model, not a curated record. The transcript has 3 exons. NCBI's taxonomy places the organism in Eukaryota, Metazoa, Echinodermata, Crinoidea, Comatulida, Comatulidae.